Molecule: ribosomal RNA, 2079 nt
Filed under: Triticum aestivum (bread wheat)
Lineage: Eukaryota; Viridiplantae; Streptophyta; Magnoliopsida; Poales; Poaceae
Description: partial small subunit ribosomal RNA
Source: RNAcentral
UACUUAUCGUACCAAAAUUAGGAUGCCAGUAGCUUAUCAGACCAUCUACUUGAGGAGCUCCUCCAGAAGUAGGCGGAGGGGUGCCGGCGGCUGGAGCGCGCGCGGAGGCGCCGGACGCAGAGGAAGGCGGCACAGUAGCGGCCGGUGCAGAAGGAAGCGGCUAAGGCGCAGGAUGUGGGCGGCGGAGAGGAGCCGUAGGAGACGACCCUAGAGUGGGGCCGCGUCGGCGGGGUGGGAAGGCGGCGGCGUCGCCGGUGGAACCGGCCGCGGCUGAAGAGCACGAGGAAGGAGGGAGGCAGGGCGCUGGCGACCACGGAGGCGCUGCAGGCACUACCGGCGCGGGAAAAGAGGGGGCGGGAGCUCCCCUGGCGGGCAAAAGGGCUGAUGGUGAUAUUGGGUUCGCUAGACCAAUGCCUCAAGCGGCAGACGCUGGGGGACGUGGCCGCGAUGGACGAAGACGGGAGGCAGGGGCUGGUAGAGCGGACAGUUCGGGUAGGCGGCCUGUAGGACUUUACGCUCGGGAAGGUACGAGGAGGGCCGCUGGUACUCUUUGGUAGCAAGUCUCUGAAGUCUCACUACACGAAUCACACCACGUUUUGGUUCGAGGAGGAGGAGCAGAAGAGAAGGACGCGGCCUGUUACCGAGCGGCUAGGAUAAUGAAAACUUUACUACCUCAAUAGACGGCAGUUGGAAGGCAGAGGUGGACCGGCAAUACCCGUCGUCUACCGGUAACACCUCCGUCCUCUUCCUUCCGAACCCUACGAAUGAUAGACACUAUUUUAAGUUUCACUACGUAUAGUAGAGAAAAUACGACAUGUCAGAUCCCUACCCUUACCGCGUUUGGUCACCGUCAGGUUCAGGGACUAGCGAAACGGCCUUUUAAUACCGAUAACGUAGUACCCACAUCGGCCACCUAUGAAUGAGGAUACGCCCAUAGGCCUUCUGUUGUCCGGUUAUCAUCGGAUAAAAAGUGACUUAGAGGUCUGAAAGGUCCAACUCACCAAGACAGUCUGACUACUAAUACAGAACUAACCACUGGAUAGGUCGGCGGGGAAGGUAGAGGAGAAGGUGUUGGCCGGUGGCAGGGCUAGACUUCCAGAGGCUGGUCUAGUCGGAGGAGGGGUGGUGCCGCACGCCGCUCCUCAGGGGCCUAGCGAGCGGCAGUGGGUCACGCCACGUCUAGACCAUCAGGCGGGAGUGGUUCGUAAGCUACGCAACUGCCGAGGAUCGUGGUCUAUGGCGCUGCUUGCUCGACACAAGACGGAGGAGGCCGACGGCUCCUGGUGCCUGCGGUGAAGCAGAGUGGCCGACCGAGUCGUAGUCGUGGCCGGUGAUGAGUGUCCACACGUUUUAACAACGAUGCAGUACCUAGAUAGUGAAAACGAGAACCAGAACACAAGAGGUCUUGAGGACCUCCUCUAGAAGGAGGCCGAGGGGCGCCGGCGGCUGGAGCGGGCUCGGAGGCGCCGCACGCAGAGGAAGGCGGCGCAGCAGCGGCGGGUGGGGAAGGAGGCGGCUAAAGCGCGGUAGGUGGGCGGCGGGGAGGAGCCGUAGGAGACGCCGCCGGAGUGGGGGCGGGUCGGCGGGGUGGGAAGGCGGCGGCGCCGCCGGUGGAAGCGGCUGCGGCUGAAGAGGACGAGGAAGGAGGGGGGCAGGGCGCUGGCGACCACGGAGGCACUCCAGGCGCUGCCGGCGCGGGAAAAGAGGGGGCGGGACGUUCCCUGGUUGGUGUUAAUGUUGGGGUCGCUAGACCAGUUCCUUAAGCGGCAGACGCUGGGGGACGUGGUGGCGAUGGAGGACGAUGGACAGGAGGGGCUGGUAGAUCGGUCAGUUCAGGUAGGCGGCCUGUGGCACCUUACGCUCUGGAAGAAGCGAGGAGGACCGCUGCUACUCCUGAGUAGUAAGUCUCUGAAGUCUCAAUACACGAACCACGCCAGGUAUUGGUUCGAGCAGGAGAAGCAGAAGAGAAGGACGCGACCUUCUACCGAGCGACUAGGCUAGUGUAAACUACACGAACCUACGCGCCACCAUAGUGCGGCGAUGAUGCGGGUAGCUACGAAGGCAACCGGUCUAAAUACU